GAUGAACGCUAGCUACAGGCUUAACACAUGCAAGUCGAGGGGCAGCACAGUGUAGCAAUACAUGGGUGGCGACCGGCGCACGGGUGCGUAACGCGUAUGUAACCUACCUCAAACAGGGGCAUAACACUGAGAAAUUGGUACUAAUUCCCCGUAACACCUUGGGAGGCAUCUCUUGGGGUUGAAAGUUCCGGCGGUUUGAGAUGGACAUGCGUUGUAUUAGCUAGUUGGUGAGGUAACGGCUCACCAAGGCGACGAUACAUAGGGGGACUGAGAGGUUAACCCCCCACAUUGGUACUGAGACACGGACCAA
RNAcentral lists this ribosomal RNA (310 nucleotides) under uncultured bacterium. RNAcentral's name for it is "bacterial SSU rRNA". It matches the Rfam family "Bacterial small subunit ribosomal RNA", at positions 28 to 334 of the family's 1533-position model. The record is from RNAcentral.